RNAcentral lists this ribosomal RNA (1343 nucleotides) under uncultured bacterium. Its description in RNAcentral is "16S ribosomal RNA". It matches the Rfam family "Bacterial small subunit ribosomal RNA", at positions 28 to 1378 of the family's 1533-position model. The record is from RNAcentral.
GACGAACGCUGGCGGCGUGCUUAACACAUGCAAGUCGAACGGAAAGGCCCUGCUUUUGUGGGGUGCUCGAGUGGCGAACGGGUGAGUAACACGUGAGUAACCUGCCCUUGACUUUGGGAUAACUUCAGGAAACUGGGGCUAAUACCGGAUAGGAGCUCCUGCUGCAUGGUGGGGGUUGGAAAGUUUCGGCGGUUGGGGAUGGACUCGCGGCUUAUCAGCUUGUUGGUGGGGUAGUGGCUUACCAAGGCUUUGACGGGUAGCCGGCCUGAGAGGGUGACCGGCCACAUUGGGACUGAGAUACGGCCCAGACUCCUACGGGAGGCAGCAGUGGGGAAUAUUGCACAAUGGGCGGAAGCCUGAUGCAGCAACGCCGCGUGCGGGAUGACGGCCUUCGGGUUGUAAACCGCUUUCGCCUGUGACGAAGCGUGAGUGACGGUAAUGGGUAAAGAAGCACCGGCUAACUACGUGCCAGCAGCCGCGGUGAUACGUAGGGUGCGAGCGUUGUCCGGAUUUAUUGGGCGUAAAGAGCUCGUAGGUGGUUGAUCGCGUCGGAAGUGUAAUCUUGNGGCUUAACCCUGAGCGUGCUUUCGAUACGGGUUGACUUGAGGAAGGUAGGGGAGAAUGGAAUUCCUGGUGGAGCGGUGGAAUGCGCAGAUAUCAGGAGGAACACCAGUGGCGAAGGCGGUUCUCUGGGCCUUUCCUGACGCUGAGGAGCGAAAGCGUGGGGAGCGAACAGGCUUAGAUACCCUGGUAGUCCACGCUGUAAACGGUGGGUACUAGGUGUGGGGUCCAUUCCACGGGUUCCGUGCCGUAGCUAACGCUUUAAGUACCCCGCCUGGGGAGUACGGCCGCAAGGCUAAAACUCAAAGGAAUUGACGGGGCCCCGCACAAGCGGCGGAGCAUGCGGAUUAAUUCGAUGCAACGCGUAGAACCUUACCUGGGUUUGACAUGGAUCGGGAGUGCUCAGAGAUGGGUGUGCCUCUUUUGGGGUCGGUUCACAGGUGGUGCAUGGCUGUCGUCAGCUCGUGUCGUGAGAUGUUGGGUUAAGUCCCGCAACGAGCGCAACCCUUGUUCACUGUUGCCAGCACGUUAUGGUGGGGACUCAGUGGAGACCGCCGGGGUCAACUCGGAGGAAGGUGGGGAUGACGUCAAGUCAUCAUGCCCCUUAUGUCCAGGGCUUCACGCAUGCUACAAUGGCUGGUACAGAGAGUGGCGAGCCUGUGAGGGUGAGCGAAUCUCGGAAAGCCGGUCUCAGUUCGGAUUGGGGUCUGCAACUCGACCUCAUGAAGUCGGAGUCGCUAGUAAUCGCAGAUCAGCAACGCUGCAGUGAAUACGUUCCCGGG